RNAcentral lists this ribosomal RNA (1068 nucleotides) under Alicyclobacillus sp. enrichment culture clone MRT18-25. RNAcentral's name for it is "bacterial SSU rRNA". It matches the Rfam family "Bacterial small subunit ribosomal RNA", at positions 336 to 1397 of the family's 1533-position model. The record is from RNAcentral. Lineage: Bacteria; Bacillati; Bacillota; Bacilli; Caryophanales; Alicyclobacillaceae.
CUCCUACGGGAGGCAGCAGUAGGGAAUCUUCCGCAAUGGGCGCAAGCCUGACGGAGCAACGCCGCGUGAGUGAGGAAGGCCUUCGGGUUGUAAAACUCAGUCACCUGGGAAGAGAGGUAUGGGGAGUGGAAUGCCCCAUACGAGACGGUACCAGGGGAGGAAGCCCCGGCUAACUACGUGCCAGCAGCCGCGGUAAUACGUAGGGGGCAAGCGUUGUCCGGAAUCACUGGGCGUAAAGCGUGCGUAGGCGGUCUUUCAAGUCCGGGGUGAAAACUCAAGGCUCAACCUUGAGAAUGCCUUGGAAACUGGGGGACUUGAGUACUGGAGAGGCAAGGGGAAUUCCACGUGUAGCGGUGAAAUGCGUAGAGAUGUGGAGGAAUACCAGUGGCGAAGGCGCCUUGCUGGACAGUGACUGACGCUGAGGCACGAAAGCGUGGGGAGCAAACAGGAUUAGAUACCCUGGUAGUCCACGCUGUAAACGAUGAGUGCUAGGUGUUGGGGGUUCAUCCCCUCAGUGCCGAAGGAAACCCAAUAAGCACUCCGCCUGGGGAGUACGGUCGCAAGACUGAAACUCAAAGGAAUUGACGGGGGCCCGCACAAGCAGUGGAGCAUGUGGUUUAAUUCGAAGCAACGCGGAGAACCUUACCAGGGCUUGACAUCCCUCUGACCGGUUCAGAGAUGGACCUUCCCUUCGGGGCAGAGGAGACAGGUGGUGCAUGGUUGUCGUCAGCUCGUGUCGUGAGAUGUUGGGUUAAGUCCCGCAACGAGCGCAACCCUUGACCUGUGUUACCAGCACGUAAUGGUGGGGACUCACAGGUGACUGCCGGCGUAAGUCGGAGGAAGGUGGGGAUGACGUCAAAUCAUCAUGCCCUUUAUGUCCUGGGCUACACACGUGCUACAAUGGGCGGUACAACGGGAAGCGAGACCGCGAGGUGGAGCGAAACCCAAAAAGCCGUUCGUAGUUCGGAUUGCAGGCUGCAACCCGCCUGCAUGAAGCCGGAAUUGCUAGUAAUCGCGGAUCAGCAUGCCGCGGUGAAUCCGUUCCCGGGCCUUGCACACACCGCCCGU